AGCGAACGCUGGCGGCAGGCCUAACACAUGCAAGUCGAACGAACCUUUCGGGGUUAGUGGCGUUCGGGUGAGUAACCCGUGGGAACGUGCCUUUAGGUUCGGAAUAACUCAGGGAAACUUGUGCUAAUACCGAAUGUGCCCUUCGGGGGAAAGAUUUAUCGCCUUUAGAGCGGCCCGCGUCUGAUUAGCUAGUUGGUUGAGGUAAUGGCUCACCAAGGCGACGAUCAGUAGCUGGUCUGAGAGGAUGAUCAGCCACAUUGGGACUGAGACACGGCCCAAACUCCUACGGGAGGCAGCAGUGGGGAAUCUUGCGCAAUGGGCGAAAGCCUGACGCAGCCAUGCCGCGUGAAUGAUGAAGGUCUUAGGAUUGUAAAAUUCUUUCACCGGGGACGAUAAUGACGGUACCCGGAGAAGAAGCCCCGGCUAACUUCGUG
This 434-nucleotide ribosomal RNA is filed under the name uncultured bacterium. RNAcentral describes it as "partial 16S ribosomal RNA". It matches the Rfam family "Bacterial small subunit ribosomal RNA", at positions 29 to 507 of the family's 1533-position model. The record is from RNAcentral.